CCUACGGGAGGCAGCAGUGGGGAAUUUUGGACAAUGGGCGCAAGCCUGAUCCAGCAAUGCCGCGUGAGUGAAGAAGGCCUUCGGGUUGUAAAGCUCUUUUGUCAGGGAAGAAACGGUCUACUCUAAUACAGUGGGCUAAUGACGGUACCUGAAGAAUAAGCACCGGCUAACUACGUGCCAGCAGCCGCGGUAAUACGUAGGGUGCAAGCGUUAAUCGGAAUUACUGGGCGUAAAGCGUGCGCAGGCGGUUAUAUAAGUCAGAUGUGAAAUCCCCGGGCUCAACCUGGGAACUGCAUUUGAGACUGUAUGGCUAGAGUGUGUCAGAGGGGGGUAGAAUUCCACGUGUAGCAGUGAAAUGCGUAGAUAUGUGGAGGAAUACCGAUGGCGAAGGCAGCCCCCUGGGAUAACACUGACGCUCAUGCACGAAAGCGUGGGGAGCAAACAGGAUUAGAUACCCUGGUAGUCCACGCCCUAAACGAUGUCUACUAGUUGUCGGGACUUAAUUGUCUUGGUAACGCGAGCUACGACGUGAGUAGACCGCCGUCGGGAGGUACGGUCGCGAGAGUAAACGUAACGAAAGAAAGUAGACGGCGUGAGACGUAGACCGACGGACGACGACGAGGGGAGGAGG
RNAcentral lists this ribosomal RNA (631 nucleotides) under uncultured bacterium. Its description in RNAcentral is "bacterial SSU rRNA". The stretch from base 1 to 542 matches the Rfam family "Bacterial small subunit ribosomal RNA", at positions 338 to 873 of the family's 1533-position model. The record is from RNAcentral.